RNAcentral lists this ribosomal RNA (502 nucleotides) under uncultured bacterium. Its description in RNAcentral is "bacterial SSU rRNA". It matches the Rfam family "Bacterial small subunit ribosomal RNA", at positions 28 to 513 of the family's 1533-position model. The record is from RNAcentral.
GACGAACGCUGGCGGCGUGCCUAAUACAUGCAAGUCGAGCGGACCAAAGGGAGCUUGCUCCUGGAGGUUAGCGGCGAACGGGUGAGUAACACGUGGGCAACCUGCCUGUAAGACUGGGAUAACAUCGAGAAAUCGGUGCUAAUACCGGAUAAUAAAAAGAACUGCAUGGUUCUUUUUUGAAAGAUGGUUUCGGCUAUCACUUACAGAUGGGCCCGCGGCGCAUUAGCUAGUUGGUGAGGUAACGGCUCACCAAGGCGACGAUGCGUAGCCGACCUGAGAGUGUGAUCGGCCACACUGGGACUGAGACACGGCCCAGACUCCUACGGGAGGCAGCAGUAGGGAAUCUUCCGCAAUGGACGAAAGUCUGACGGAGCAACGCCGCGUGAGUGAUGAAGGUUUUCGGAUCGUAAAACUCUGUUGUUAGGGAAGAACAAGUGCCGUUCGAAAGGGCGGCACCUUGACGGUACCUAACGAGAAAGCCUCGGCUAACUACGUGCCAGCA